CCGGUGAAUGACUUAGCCACUUAACCUUAUUAGGAGUAAUAUGUAUGUGGUAAAGGUUAGCUAAUGGGUUUAGCUAAUGAAAUACAAUUUAUGAUAUUACGAAGUGAAAGUGUAGGAGCAGGGAAAAAAAAAAAAAAAAAAAAAAGAAGGCCUCCUGGUUUGUGCCAAGGUUAAGUUUGUGGACUUCCAGCUGAGGCACGUGAGCCCAAGAUCUCCACCUGCUGAGGUAAUCAGCCAGCCCAGGCCUACAGGUAGCUGCAAGAAGCUUAACGUGUGGAGAAACUAACUUCUCCUUACAAAGAUAUGAUUCUAACUAUUUCGACCAGACUGUCUUGGGGCCCUACCUCUCAGGAACUGAGUGCUGGAAAACCUCCACUGGAAAAAAACAAAAAACCAAAAAAACAACAACACCCUUUUAAAAGAGAGGAUAUCAGAAGUAUACAUCUUUUAUCCAUGCCCCACACACUUGCAUGUGAAGGGAGAGCACCAGCUGUUUUUCUCAUGGAGGCACUAUGGAAAACACACCUCUCAAACUGGGGCUCACAGCCAGGACAACUGGUGAUGGUGACACAAAAAAGCAACUCAUCACAGGCACUACAUGACAUUGAGGGAUUGAACAAGUAAGUCCAACAGAACCAUGGAGGGGUAUGAUUGUACUAUUAUGAGGUCAGAGAUUAUGGCUGUGGACCAAGAAGAAUAUAAUUCAGAUUUCAACGUAAAGUAACUGCAGCUAUUUCAUGCAAAGAGUUCUAUGUAUUCUUCUUCCUUCUCCCUGUCCCUCUUUCCUCCCUAGCUACAGACUGUCACCAUCUAAGAAUAAGUGAAAAAUGAUUUUUGAGUAUUUAUACGUAUACUGACAGCUGUAUGACUUAAAUUUAAUUUUUGAAUAAAUCACCUAAUAACAAAGACA
Molecule: long non-coding RNA, 910 nt
Filed under: Numida meleagris (helmeted guineafowl)
Lineage: Eukaryota; Metazoa; Chordata; Aves; Galliformes; Numididae
Description: lncRNA (ENSNMEG00000006769.1)
Source: RNAcentral